Molecule: transfer RNA, 71 nt
Filed under: Schistosoma mansoni
Lineage: Eukaryota; Metazoa; Platyhelminthes; Trematoda; Strigeidida; Schistosomatidae
Source: RNAcentral
GCCUCAAUGAUCUAGAGGUUAAGGGUUCGGGCGCGUAACCGAAGGUCCAAGGUUCAAUUCCUGCCGGAGGG